This 508-nucleotide ribosomal RNA is filed under the name Sticta corymbosa. RNAcentral's name for it is "partial 28S ribosomal RNA". It matches the Rfam family "Eukaryotic large subunit ribosomal RNA", at positions 108 to 629 of the family's 3401-position model. Lineage: Eukaryota; Fungi; Ascomycota; Lecanoromycetes; Peltigerales; Lobariaceae. The record is from RNAcentral.
CUUAAAUUUGAAAUCUGGCCUCUUCGGGGUCCGAGUUGUAAUUUGUAGAGGGUGUUUCGGGCGCGAUGCCGGUCUAAGUUCCUUGGAACAGGACGUCGCAGAGGGUGAGAAUCCCGUACGCGACCGGCGAUCAAGCCCGUGUGAAGCCCCUUCGACGAGUCGAGUUGUUUGGGAAUGCAGCUCAAAAUGGGUGGUAAAUUUCAUCUAAAGCUAAAUAUUGGCCAGAGACCGAUAGCGGACAAGUAGAGUGAUCGAAAGAUGAAAAGCACUUUGGAAAGAGAGUCAAACAGUACGUGAAAUUGUUGAAAGGGAAGCGCUUGCAAUCAGACCGGUCCGGAGGCGAUCAGCCGCUGCUCGUUCAGCGGUGCACUCGCCUGCGAUCCGGCCAGCAUCGGUUUGGGCGGUGGGAUAAAAGUCCCGGGAAUGUAGCUUCUCUCGGGGAGUCUUAUAGCCCGGGUCGCAAUGCCGCCCGCCCGGACCGAGGACCGCGCUUCGGCUAGGAUGCUGG